UGGGGAAUAUUGCACAAUGGAGGGAACUCUGAUGCAGCGACGCCGCGUGAGUGAUGAAGGAAUUCGUUUCGUAAAACUCUGUUCUAUGGGAAGAAAAGGACUGUACCAUAGGAGAAAGCUCCGGCUAAAUACGUGCCAGCAGCCGCGGUAAUACGUAUGGAGCGAGCGUUGUCCGGAAUUAUUGGGCGUAAAGGGUGCGCAGGCGGCUUUACAAGUUGGAUGUGAAAUAUUGUGGCUCAACCACAAACGUGCAUCCAAAACUGCAAAGCUUGAGUUAAGGAGAGGUAAGUGGAAUUCCUGGUGUAGCGGUGGAAUGCGUAGAUAUCAGGAGGAAUACCGGUGGCGUAGGCGACUUACUGGACUUAAACUGACGCUCAGGCACGAAAGCGUGGGGAGCAAACAGG
RNAcentral lists this ribosomal RNA (404 nucleotides) under Fusobacteriota bacterium. Its description in RNAcentral is "Fusobacteria bacterium partial 16S ribosomal RNA". It matches the Rfam family "Bacterial small subunit ribosomal RNA", at positions 355 to 776 of the family's 1533-position model. Lineage: Bacteria; Fusobacteriati; Fusobacteriota. The record is from RNAcentral.